CGCAAAGGUAUCGAAGAUGGUUUCCAGCCGCUGAACAUGCGUCUGGGAUGAAAAGGGAAUACGGUAAGGAAGAGCUGUUAAGCGCCGAAACCGUAACUGCCCCCGCAACUGUGAGCGGUGAGUGACCCCGACGAACACCACUGAGCCUGUCGGGCUUGGGAAGGUUCGGGCGAACGCUGAUCCGCGAGUCAGGAGACCUGCCAUCAACGGCACCAAAAG
Molecule: non-coding RNA, 219 nt
Filed under: Tritonibacter horizontis
Lineage: Bacteria; Pseudomonadati; Pseudomonadota; Alphaproteobacteria; Rhodobacterales; Paracoccaceae
Also listed under: 1 other name
Source: RNAcentral